RNAcentral lists this unclassified non-coding RNA (334 nucleotides) under soil metagenome. Its description in RNAcentral is "partial contains 5.8S ribosomal RNA, internal transcribed spacer 2, and large subunit ribosomal RNA". The stretch from base 1 to 120 matches the Rfam family "5.8S ribosomal RNA", at positions 35 to 154 of the family's 154-position model. The record is from RNAcentral.
GAUGAAGAACGCAGCGAAAUGCGAUAAGUAGUGUGAAUUGCAGAAUUCAGUGAAUCAUCGAAUCUUUGAACGCACAUUGCGCCCCUUGGUAUUCCAUGGGGCAUGCCUGUUCGAGCGUCAUUUGUACCUUCAAGCUUUGCUUGGUGUUGGGUGUUUGUCCAUUCUCUUGCAGAGGGACUCGCCUUAAAGUAAUUGGCAGCCAGUGUUUUGGUUUUGAAGCGCAGCACAAGUCGCGAUUCAACGCUAUACGCCAGCUUCCACAAGCCUUUUUCACUUUUGACCUCGGAUCAGGUAGGGAUACCCGCUGAACUUAAGCAUAUCAAUAAGCGGAGGA